CGUGAGGGGACGCGGGAAGGGAAGGGGCGGCCUCGCCAUUUCUCCCUUUCCCCUCCCAAUUCCCGGGCCGGAGCGGGGUCAGCAGCCGUCGGUGCAGCCCUGGAACCCUCCCCCCUCGGGAGGAGGAGGAGCCGCCAGAGUAGCGCCGCUUACCCCGGAAUCGCUGAGGUUGGAAUCUUUGGGAUCACUGAGUCCAAGAUGGGCCCGAUCCCCGCCUUGUCACUGAGUGCAACAUCCAGGCCUUCCCUUGCAGGUUCAUUCCCACAUUCCCUGUGACCCUCCCCUGGCUCCAGGUCCCACAUCCCUGGGAGAGCCCCGAGCUCUGUGCCUGAGGCAAAGCUCCACCAACAGGGAAGGAAAUCCAUGGCUUUUCCUUCUGGAGCAUCCCUCCUGCUCUGGAAGCUUUAGGAAAUAAUUAGGAUGGCCUGGAUGUGCCAGAUCCGUCCCCAAAGCUUGGGAAUUCCAUUGCGUUCCAAAGUUUGGGAAGAGCGGUUUGACUCCACCGGGAGCAGGAGUUUUUCCGGCAUUCCCAGCCGGAAUUUAGGAUUUAGGGAUGCUGCCGCCGGGUGCCGCCGUUUUUCCCGGCGGUUUUUCCCGGCCGAGCCGCUGGAUGGAGCAGGAGGAAAAGCCGUGGAUUGAUCUCCGCGGGAAUGGUUCCCAGGAUUUCCUCUCCCCGCAUGGAGCAGCCAAGGGGUCACACAACCAUGGAAUUGUUGAGGGUGGAAAACACCUUUGGGAUCAUCAAAUCCGAGCUCCAGCGCGGGAUGGAGCCGCGGGAUCUCCCGGGGGUAGAAUAAUCGGGAUUUAGGGAAUGGUGUCCCUAUCCAGGAUAUUCCAGGCUCCCGGGAAGGGCUGAUCCAAGGAAACACCGCCCAGCCCUGUCCCCAGGACGGGAGGGACAGCUGGGUUUCCAUAGAACCCCUUCCAAACACAGCCAUCCACCAGCCAAACAAGGACAAUCCCAUUUUUCCUAAGGAAUGUGUGGAUUUAGGGUGAUCCUUAACCCCCAGAUCCCAGUUUGAUUUUGGCUCCCUCCAUCCCUCCAGAGCUGAGCUUGAGCCACACUUGGGUUUUUAUUCCACACACAACGAUGCAUCAACCAAACAAAGAAAAUCCCAUUUCCUCCACUGAGCCCUUCCUGGGCUCAAUUCACAGUUGAGUUUUUAUAGAACCCAUUCCAAGCACAGCCAUCCAUCAGCUGGAACCAAACAAGGACAAUCCCAUUUUUCCUAAGGAAUGUGUGGAUUUAGGGUGAUCCUCAACCCCCACAUCCCAGUUAUAUUUUGGCUCCAUCUGUCCCUCCGGAGCCGGGCUCCAUUCCCGCCAGGACGGAGCCAGAGGGAUCUCAGCUCUGCCUUCACCCAACCCCAAAAAUGGCAAAGGAAUCAGCGCUUGGAGCCCGGAAUCUCCUUGGAAGAGCAGCCUGGAAUCUCCCUGGAAGAUUCCAAGCACCCGGGAGGCUCCGGCCGAUUCCCAGACCUGGAGGAUCUGAACCACUUGGGGGGUUUUUGUCCCCCUGAUAAUCUGGGGGCUGAGCAAUGGGGUCAGUCCCUUCCCUUGGCUGCUCCAGGAUAUCCAGGAGAGGCUGGAAAAUCCCCGGCUGUGUUUGGGAUGUGUUUUCCUGGGAGCAGCCCCCGCUUUCCGUGGCUGCUGUAAACAAAUCAAUCUCUGCAGCUGAGCCCAUCCCGGAGGAGACUCCAAGGAAUUCUGACGGGUUUUAUGCCCAAAUAAAUCAUUCCUGCCCUGGCAA
Molecule: long non-coding RNA, 1750 nt
Organism: Haemorhous mexicanus (house finch)
Lineage: Eukaryota; Metazoa; Chordata; Aves; Passeriformes; Fringillidae
Exons: 2
Source: RefSeq, a predicted model, not a curated record